Molecule: ribosomal RNA, 305 nt
Filed under: uncultured bacterium
Lineage: Bacteria
Description: bacterial SSU rRNA
Rfam family: Bacterial small subunit ribosomal RNA
Source: RNAcentral
CUUGCCCUACGGGGGGCAGCAGUGGGGAAUAUUGCACAAUGGGCGCAAGCCUGAUGCAGCAACGCCGCGUGAGCGAAGAAGGUCUUCGGAUCGUAAAGCUCUGUCCUUGAGGAAGAAGGAAGUGACGGUACUCAAGGAGGAAGCCCCGGCUAACUACGUGCCAGCAGCCGCGGUAAUACGUAGGGGGCAAGCGUUAUCCGGAAUUAUUGGGCGUAAAGGGUGCGUAGGUGGUUUCUUAAGUCAGGGGUGAAAGGCUACGGCUCAACCGUAGUAAGCCUUUGAAACUGGGGAACUUGAGUGCAGGG